Molecule: long non-coding RNA, 211 nt
Filed under: Elaeis guineensis (African oil palm)
Lineage: Eukaryota; Viridiplantae; Streptophyta; Magnoliopsida; Arecales; Arecaceae
Description: long non-coding RNA (EGUI_LNC036040)
Source: RNAcentral
ACCCUUAAUCGGCGACCAUAGCCGGAGGUAGUUGUGCAGAGACCUCGUGAGAGGGCAUCAGAUGAGGGAAGGAGGAUUGGGCGUCGGAAAAGAUGGUCGGAAGCGGGUCCGUUGAGCGCUCCUUUAAGAACAAGGGUGCUGCGAAGGUUCAACCCCUUCCUCUAGCGCCAAUCCUGUUGGUGCAAAAAUCUGCUUGCGUCGGAGAAGCUGG